GGGUGACAGGUGGUGCAUGGUUGUCGUCAGCUCGUGUCGUGAGAUGUUGGGUUAAGUCCCGCAACGAGCGCAACCCUCGACCUUAGUUGCCAGCAUUCAGUUGGGCACUCUAAGGUGACUGCCGGCUAAAAGUCGGAGGAAGGUGGGAUGACGUCAAAUCAUCAUGCCCCUUAUGACCUGGGCUACACACGUGCUACAAUGGGCGGUACAAAGGGUCGCGAACCCGCGAGGGGAGCCAAUCCCAAAAAGCCGCUCUCAGUUCGGAUUGCAGGCUGCAACUCGCCUGCAUGAAGCCGGAAUCGCUAGUAAUCGCGGAUCAGCAUGCCGCGGUGAAUACGUUCCCGGGCCUU
RNAcentral lists this ribosomal RNA (350 nucleotides) under uncultured Anoxybacillus sp. RNAcentral describes it as "bacterial SSU rRNA". It matches the Rfam family "Bacterial small subunit ribosomal RNA", at positions 1029 to 1382 of the family's 1533-position model. Lineage: Bacteria; Bacillati; Bacillota; Bacilli; Caryophanales; Anoxybacillaceae. The record is from RNAcentral.